This 678-nucleotide ribosomal RNA is filed under the name uncultured beta proteobacterium. Its description in RNAcentral is "bacterial SSU rRNA". It matches the Rfam family "Bacterial small subunit ribosomal RNA", at positions 60 to 729 of the family's 1533-position model. The record is from RNAcentral. Lineage: Bacteria; Pseudomonadati; Pseudomonadota; Betaproteobacteria.
GGUAACGCGGGGAGAAGCUUGCUUCUCCCCGGCGACGAGUGGCGAACGGGUGAGUAAUACAUCGGAACGUGUCCGCUCGUGGGGGACAACCAGCCGAAAGGUUGGCUAAUACCGCAUGAGUUCUACGGAAGAAAGAGGGGGACCCGCAAGGGCCUCUCGCGAGCGGAGCGGCCGAUGACUGAUUAGCCGGUUGGUGAGGUAACGGCUCACCAAAGCAACGAUCAGUAGCUGGUCUGAGAGGACGACCAGCCACACUAGGACUGAGACACGGCCCAGACUCCUACGGGAGGCAGCAGUGGGGAAUUUUGGACAAUGGGCGCAAGCCUGAUCCAGCUAUUCCGCGUGUGGGAUGAAGGCCCUCGGGUUGUAAACCACUUUUGUAGAGAACGAAAAGACACCUUCGAAUAAAGGGUGUUGCUGACGGUACUCUAAGAAUAAGCACCGGCUAACUACGUGCCAGCAGCCGCGGUAAUACGUAGGGUGCGAGCGUUAAUCGGAAUUACUGGGCGUAAAGGGUGCGCAGGCGGUUGAGUAAGACAGAUGUGAAAUCCCCGAGCUUAACUCGGGAAUGGCAUAUGUGACUGCUCGGCUAGAGUGUGUCAGAGGGAGGUGGAAUUCCACGUGUAGCAGUGAAAUGCGUAGAUAUGUGGAAGAACACCGAUGGCGAAGGCAGCCUCC